This 382-nucleotide unclassified non-coding RNA is filed under the name uncultured bacterium. Its description in RNAcentral is "contains 16S-23S intergenic spacer region". The record is from RNAcentral.
UCCGAGUUGUCCCCGGCAGUCCCAUUAGAGUCCCCGACUUUACUCGCUGGCAACUAAUGGCAGGGGUUGCGCUCGUUGCGGCACUUAAGCCAACACCUCACGGCACGAGCUGACGACAGCCACGCAGCACCUGUGCUGGCUCCCCUUGCGAGGUCAUCCCCGUUUCCGGUUCUUACCACCAGCAUGUCAAACCUGGGUAAGGUACUUCGCGUUGCGUCGAAUUGAACCACAUGCACCACCGCUUGUGCGGGCCCCCGUCAAUUCCUUUGAGUUUCAGCCUUGCGGCCGUACUCCCCAGGCGGGGUACUUCCUGCGUUAGCGCCGGCACCCAAGGGGUCGCUCCCCCAGGCACCUAGUACCCAUCGUUUACGGCUAGGACUAC